CGGACGGGUGAGUAACGCGUGGGUAACCUGCCUCACACUGGGGGAUAACAGUUAGAAAUGACUGCUAAUACCGCAUAAGCGCACAGUACCGCAUGGUACGGUGUGAAAAACUCCGGUGGUGUGAGAUGGAUCCGCGUCUGAUUAGCCAGUUGGCGGGGUAACGGCCCACCAAAGCGACGAUCAGUAGCCGACCUGAGAGGGUGACCGGCCACAUUGGGACUGAGACACGGCCCAA
RNAcentral lists this ribosomal RNA (235 nucleotides) under uncultured bacterium. RNAcentral describes it as "partial 16S ribosomal RNA". It matches the Rfam family "Bacterial small subunit ribosomal RNA", at positions 99 to 334 of the family's 1533-position model. The record is from RNAcentral.